GCGCCCUCGUCCUCGUCGUCCUCUUUACUCACCUGGGGGCUGUCGCAGAAUUCACUCCUUCGGUUCAUCAAUCCCCACCUUUGCUGCUGCUGCUGGAGGAGCUGAUGCUGGUGGUGGUGCCUCCGGAUCGACAUGAGGGGUGCAUUUAGAUCCAACUUCUUCUCCCGGAGGAACUCCUGGGAUUGCUGCUGCUGCUGCUGUAGGAGCUGCUGCUGGAUAAUGCUCGAGAACACCAUCGCUGGAGUCUAGCUUCUACCAGGAACAGCUACAUUGAUCCAAAUCUCCAUCGCUGGCUCUCGCAAUGCCGAAACUCUGGAUCGAUCAAGCGAAACACAGAAAAGAAUAAGAAGAGAGGUAAGUAUUUCUAUCCUCGUGGAGGUUUAAUAUAUGUUUUCCUCCCAGCCAAACGAAGAAACACCAAGAGUGUGAUCGCGAGGCGUAGCUCAACAAGGAACUACCACCGAUUCCCAUAGAACCUGCAUUGCCCCCCCAUCCCAUCGCGCUUACAACACACAGAUAAAAUAGAAGAAGCGAACACCACAAGAACGAGAAAACUGGAAGAACGAAAAAAAAACAGAGAGUAAAAGCCGUCGGAUAUUCUGUCUGAUCCAGACACGUGACGGGGAUAUUCUGGUCCGUCAACUUUGGCUGGCCCAUGCAGGGAAAUUCCUAUGUGUGUAAAGGACCAUGGGAUUAAACAUAGAAGACUGGACCAACCAA
Selaginella moellendorffii is the source of this 720-nucleotide long non-coding RNA. RefSeq lists it as uncharacterized. Lineage: Eukaryota; Viridiplantae; Streptophyta; Lycopodiopsida; Selaginellales; Selaginellaceae. The transcript has 3 exons. The record is from RefSeq and is a predicted model, not a curated record.